AAAGAUGAAGAUGAGGCCAUAGACAACGCUUCCUCCAGGAAAGAUAUUCUUCUGUUUGUAGCCUAGAUGUCAGAUUCAGGCUGGGUUAUUCUGUAGAUUUGAGGAUGUUACAGCUGAACUAAGAGAACUAUCAUUUGUUAAAGAGCAAAGACCAUGUAAAUGCCAGAUAAACUGGAAACGGCAAGGCAGAAGUUCAGGCAUUUCAAUCUCCUUUAGCGUAGGAUUGGCGAGCAACAUCGAAAGGUACACAUUCCUUAAGUUGCCAGCCAAUUGGGGAACCACCUGAGUCAAGCCACAAAGACAUCAACAGCAAAUUAACACAAUCUCUCACCAAUAAGCACUCAAUCUGCAGACAAAAACAUAGACAAUUAUGCACAAUCUAAGCUGGAGGUGGGAAGGAAAGACCAGAGGAGACCUCCCUGCCCAAAUGAGCAGAAGAAGAAGAAGAAGAAGAAGAAGAAGAAGAAGAAGAAGAAGGAAGAUCGGCGCUAGUGCAUCAUUCACAGGCCUGUCAGGUUGGUUUUGUCAGAUGUAAAGGAAUAUCCUGUUUGUUUCCCUCUCUGUUCUGUGGUGGAAAAAAAAAAAUCUGAAGCCGGCCGUGGCCGCAUUUAAGGGUCAGCAUUAUGGCUGAACUGAAAAAAUAAAAAAUAAAAUAAAAAAUGUAAAAAUCAAAUCCAACCAAUUUUACUAAAGGAAUUAAUCAAAUUGGUAAUUCAAUUUUUGGA
Molecule: long non-coding RNA, 725 nt
Organism: Hevea brasiliensis (rubber tree)
Lineage: Eukaryota; Viridiplantae; Streptophyta; Magnoliopsida; Malpighiales; Euphorbiaceae
Exons: 2
Source: RefSeq, a predicted model, not a curated record